GCUUCCCAGUAGGGCCUCAUGUUAGUCUAUUAGGUCUGUUCUCUCCCCUCCUGCUCUGACUAUGUGGGGGAAGCCUACCUGCUUUCACCAGGGCUCUGUCUUGAAGUUGCCACAAAGCCACCUUGAGAUCUGUCUUAGUAACAUCAGCAAGAGGCCCAGAUAUGCUGAAGCUUCCGUGGCUGUGCAGGAUCCACUUGGCAUAACUUCUACCCUUGACUGUAGGACCAUCUGUGACUCAAAUCAACAUGAAUGGGAACCACCAGCCAGCUGAGCGAUGGACUUCAGGGGGAGCUGACACAGAGGGCAGACAAGCCCGGGAAGCCCCUGUCUACCUCCUUCUGAGAUGUCCCAGCCUCUGCCGAGCAUCUGCUGCCAUUGAUGGGGCAACAGGUGGAUUGACAUGUAGUUAUCAGACUGCUGAUGAGUCCAGAGUCCAUCCACACCUUCAGGGACUUAGAUCUUGGAACCAGUUAUAAACUUUGACCCAGUCUGACCAGAGCAACCUGACCGUAUCAGCACCAGGGAAAAGGAC
Molecule: long non-coding RNA, 532 nt
Organism: Mus musculus (house mouse)
Lineage: Eukaryota; Metazoa; Chordata; Mammalia; Rodentia; Muridae
Product: predicted gene, 30413
Exons: 4
Source: RefSeq, a predicted model, not a curated record